This 425-nucleotide long non-coding RNA is filed under the name Monodelphis domestica (gray short-tailed opossum). RNAcentral describes it as "lncRNA (ENSMODG00000032246.2)". The record is from RNAcentral. Lineage: Eukaryota; Metazoa; Chordata; Mammalia; Didelphimorphia; Didelphidae.
AAGAAGUAUGAAAACAGUCUCUGUCCUUAAAGAAGGCAUUACAUUUUGUCAUAUACAUUUUAAUGGACAAUGAAAAAGAUGAAGAAAAUGAGAAAUGGAGAAAUUGUGACUUGUUCUGGUUAUUUGUUGAUCUUCAUACAUGGAAAGGGCCAAAAUAACACCAAGGGAUAUCUUCUGACUCUCCUAUAAGUUGGAUUUAAGUGAGGCAGAGUUGUGUGAAGACAUAAGUCUCACUCUCUCUUCUGGAGUCAUCAAAGACCAAUGGCAAAACAAAAGUCAAGAGGAUUGGUGAUGGUCUGGGAUGCUGUGGAUGACCUUGGCUUCAUUGAUGUCUGACCCAGUUCUAAGCUCUUCACAAGAUCUUCUCCUACUACCUUCAUAUUCAUUGGAAUAAAUUGUUCUCAUCUACCCCUUCUACUAAGUAA